This 497-nucleotide ribosomal RNA is filed under the name uncultured bacterium. RNAcentral's name for it is "bacterial SSU rRNA". It matches the Rfam family "Bacterial small subunit ribosomal RNA", at positions 26 to 518 of the family's 1533-position model. The record is from RNAcentral.
GCUAGGAUGAACGCUGGCGGCGUGCCUAACACGUGCAAGUCGAACGAAGCAUUGAUCCGGAUCAUUCGGUGUGAAGGAGCUUAUGACUUAGUGGCGGACGGGUGAGUAACGCGUGGGCAACCUGCCCUUAACCGGGGGACAACAGUUGGAAACGGCUGCUAAUACCGCAUAAGCGCACGGAACCGCAUGGUUCAGUGUGAAAAAAUUCCGGUGGUUAAGGAUGGGCCCGCGUUGGAUUAGGUAGUUGGUGCGGUAACGGCGCACCAAGCCGACGAUCCAUAGCCGACCUGAGAGGGUGACCGGCCACAUUGGGACUGAGACACGGCCCAGACUCCUGCGGGAGGCAGCAGUGGGGAAUAUUGCACAAUGGGGGAAACCCUGAUGCAGCCGACGCCGCGUGAGUGAAGAAGUAUUUCGGUAUGUAAAGCUCUUUCGGCAGGGAAGAAGAUGACGGUACCUGCAGAAGAAGCCCCGGCUAACUACGUGCCAGCAGCUGC